Long non-coding RNA from Suricata suricatta (meerkat), 691 nucleotides. RefSeq lists it as uncharacterized. NCBI's taxonomy places the organism in Eukaryota, Metazoa, Chordata, Mammalia, Carnivora, Herpestidae. The transcript has 2 exons. The record is from RefSeq and is a predicted model, not a curated record.
AAGGCUCUGGGAUUUCACAGUUUUCUUUUAUGCCGUCCCUGGCUUGAGGCUGGGGACCUGCCUGUUUCACUUCUGUGGGGAUCUACCGGCCACAAGAGGGUAGUGAGUACUCUGUGCCUGGCAUGUGUUUACAAAGCAUGUAAGAUUCAUCUCAUCAAAAAAGACCUACAGAUGGCAAAUGAACACAUGAGAAGACACUCAACAUCAGAUGUCACGAGGGAAUUGUGUUUUGAAACAAGGAGAUAGGACUACACACCGAUUAGAACAACCGAACUCCAAACCAGUGAUGCCACCAAAGGCUGGUGAGGAUGUGGAGCAACAGGAACUCUCGUUCGUGCUGAUGGGAACGCACAACGGUGCGGCCAUGCUGGAGGACGGUUUGGCAGUGUGCUGCCCAGCUAACCACAGUCUCGCCAGGCGACGGAGUAGCUGCGUUCCUUGGUACUUACCCAGAUGAGCUGAAAACCUAGCUCCAUACAACAUUCUGCACCUAAAUGUUUACCGUGGCUUUAUUCAUCACGGUCAAAACUUGGAAGCAACCAAGAUGUCCUUUAGUAGGUGAUUGGAGAAACUGUAAUAUAGUCGCACAAUGCAGUGUCAUUCAGAGAAAAAACGAAAUGAGGCAAAGCCAUGGAAAGACAUGGAGGAAACUGAAGUGCAUAUUGCUAAGUAAAGAAGUCAGAGAAAGCCA